RNAcentral lists this long non-coding RNA (714 nucleotides) under Oryza brachyantha (malo sina). The record is from RNAcentral. Lineage: Eukaryota; Viridiplantae; Streptophyta; Magnoliopsida; Poales; Poaceae.
GGUGCGAGACAUGCUGGAUGCGAUCAUACCAGCACUAAAGCACCGGAUCCCAUCAGAACCCCGAAGUUAAGCCUGCUUGGGCGAGAGUAGUACUAGGAUGGGUGUCCUCCUGGGAAGUCCUCGUGUUGCACUUUGGGUUCUUGGUCGAGACAUUCGUUCAUUUUUGCCAUUUUGGGACCUCGGUCGAUUCGUUCGUUCAUUUCUACCGUUUUCGGUACUUGUCGGAGCCAUUGGUUCGGCCUACGCGUUUAUCGCUCGUGACGCGCGUGUCUAGCGACGCCAUCGUUUGUUCCACCUUCCGUCCGGGACAGACGUACGCUGUUCGCUCGGGGUACACGUAUCUCUCUUUUCACUCCCAUGAGACCCUGCUGUUCGUCCGCGGUACGAGUCAGCCGCUUAUUCGCCCCUACGACGGCACGGUUCGCCACGCGCGGACAGGUAAGGGCCACGCGCGGGGAGCAUAAGGGCGUAGGCGGUGCGAGACAUGCUGGAUGCGAUCAUACCAGCAGUAAGCACCGGAUCCCAUCAGAACUCUGAAGUUAUGCGUGCUUGGGCGAUAGUAGUACUAGGAUGGGUGACCUCCUGGGAAGUCCUCGUGAUGCGUCCCUUCAUUUAGCCGUUUUGUGUUCUUGGUCGAGACAUACGUUCAUUUUUGCCGUUUUGGGACCUCGGUCGAGCCAUUCGUUCAUUUUUACCAUUUUCGGUACUUGCCGG